This is a long non-coding RNA of Carassius gibelio (silver crucian carp), 1346 nucleotides long. RefSeq lists it as uncharacterized. The record is from RefSeq and is a predicted model, not a curated record. The transcript has 2 exons. Lineage: Eukaryota; Metazoa; Chordata; Actinopteri; Cypriniformes; Cyprinidae.
GUGUAAUCCAAAUUUUAACUUUUAUCAUGUGUGCAUUUGCUACGUGCUUAAAAGUACAGGACAACCUGUGCUGAAGACCUCAGCUGAACUUUAGACUUAGAAGACUGUUAUACAUAUAUGGAAACAAGGGAAGCUAGAAUUAGCGAUUUCUAUGAAGGGAUUGUAUUUUCAAAACUGCAUGACGCAGAGGUGAUUAGAUCUUAUCUCGCCCGCUAUUUGGAGCUAUUAACUCCCUUUGUGGGUUUCUAAUCAGAGAAGAACGAGACGGUUGACCUUUUGGGUAAGGUAGUUAGACUUUGGACAAUCAAGCUGCUGAUCUGCGGAAAUAGGGAACCGAAAUUACCUUGCAAGAGCUUAAUGUAUUUUCAGAGAAGAUGACUAAUGUUUUAAUAGCUGUCUGAGACGUGACUGCAUAGAUGUGCCAUUAGUUUGGUGCAGACUUGCAGGCUAUAAGAGGAGAACUCACCUCUCUUCUUUAUUCUUCUUCUUCUUCUCCUCCUCUCUCUCUUUCACUCAGACUGAGUUCAGCCUAGACCCUUCUAGCUGGACUUAGUCUUUUCUCACCUUUUUUCUUCCUAUAUUCCGGGGCUCACUUGAACUCUUUGAUCAUCUUACAGGUUUUUAUUCAUAUCAGAUACAUUGUCUUUAUUGUUGCUAUUUUGAAAUGCAGGUAUUUUAUAUGCUUGUUGUAUACUUUGUAUUAUUAUUAUUUUUAACAUCUUGAUUACUUUUGAAUAUUAUAAUGCAUUUUGUAUUACUUUUAAUUGGGCAACAUCCAUCAUACAUGGAUUGCUUUUAAAACUAUAUUAAUUUUGGGAUUUGUAUUUUCUAUAUUUGGAGCUGAUUUUAAUACUUACUAAUCUGUUUGCCAGUUAUGAGUUGUAUUCUCAUUUCCUAUAUUCUUUGAAUAAAUUUGCAUACUAAAAUACCACCCCACCGUCUGACCAGGAUUGAAGUCUCUAAUUUUUUGCAUCAGUUUUUGGAGGCACCCGCUGGAGAUCGUUGAAGUUUUCAUUUCAUUAAGUUUUGAUGCAACGCAAGACAAAAUAAAGAGAGGUAUGAGUGCAUGCUGAUACGGAAUCUAUCCUGCGUACAUUUACCACACGACUGGUUCUAAGGGUGACCCUUUUGGUGUGACUUCUGCAACAGUGCAGCUCAUCGACGAUUCGGGAGUGGUUGCUGUGCUCGUAGCUGGACAUCAGUGUUUGAUCCCAAGAACUGGACGCAUCGUCAUCACAUCGCACGCUAACUCUACAUCAUCUGAGAGACUUGUGCUUUAAUCUACCAGCUGAUAUAUAGAUUUACAAAUCCCUACAUCAAGAUGCCUCACAAGAUUAUUGAUCAAA